GCUGGUGUGGCUCAAUGGCAGAGCGAUCGCCUUGUAAGCGAUGGGUAGCAGGUUCAAGUCCUGUCACCAGCCCCA
This 75-nucleotide transfer RNA is filed under the name Oculatellaceae cyanobacterium Prado106. Its description in RNAcentral is "tRNA-Thr". It matches the Rfam family "tRNA". From Rfam's summary of the family: Transfer RNA (tRNA) molecules are approximately 80 nucleotides in length. Lineage: Bacteria; Bacillati; Cyanobacteriota; Cyanophyceae; Oculatellales; Oculatellaceae. The record is from RNAcentral.